This 414-nucleotide ribosomal RNA is filed under the name Acrapex sporobola. RNAcentral describes it as "partial 16S ribosomal RNA". Lineage: Eukaryota; Metazoa; Arthropoda; Insecta; Lepidoptera; Noctuidae. The record is from RNAcentral.
AGGGCUGCAGUAUAUUGACUGUACAAAGGUAGCAUAAUCAUUAGUCAUUUAAUUGGUGACUUGUAUGAAGGAUUUGAUGAAAUAUAAACUGUCUCUUAUUUAAUUAUAAAAUUUAAUUUUUUUAUUAAAAAGUUAAAAUGUAUUAAAAAGACGAGAAGACCCUAUAGAGUUUAAUAAAUUAUUAAAUUAAGAUUAUAUGUAAAUUAAACUUGAAAUUGAGUUAUUUAUUUUGUUGGGGUGACAAAAAAAUAUAUUAAACUUUUUUUAUUUAAAAACAUUUAUAAGUGGUUAAAUGAUCCAAUAAUGUUGAUUAUAAGAAAAAAUUACCUUAGGGAUAACAGCGUAAUUUUUUUUUUUAGUUCAAAUAAGAAAAAGAGUUUGCGACCUCGAUGUUGGAUUAAGAUAAAAUUUAAA